UCGAGGGGCAGCGGGGAGGAAGCUUGCUUUCUCCGCCGGCGACCGGCGCACGGGUGAGUAACACGUAUGCAACCUGCCCCUGUCAGGGGGACAACCCGCCGAAAGGCGGGCUAAACCCGCGUACAUGCCACCGGGGCAUCCCGGAGGCAGGAAAGGCUUCGGCCGGACAGGGAUGGGCAUGCGGCGCAUUAGGCAGUAGGCGGGGUAACGGCCCACCUAACCGACGAUGCGUAGGGGUUCUGAGAGGAAGGUCCCCCACACUGGUACUGAGACACGGACCAGACUCCUACGGGAGGCAGCAGUGAGAAAUAUUGGUCAAUGGUCGGGAGACUGAACCAGCCAAGCCGCGUGAGGGAGGAAGGUACAGAGUAUCGUAAACCUCUUUUGUCAGGGAACAAAGACUGGGACGCGUCCCCGGAUGAGUGUACCUGAAGAAAAAGCAUCGGCUAACUCCGUGCCAGCAGCCGCGGUAAUACGGAGGAUGCGAGCGUUAUCCGGAUUUAUUGGGUUUAAAGGGUGCGCAGGCGGUCUGUUAAGUCAGCGGUCAAAGCCCGGGGCUCAACCCCGGCCCGCCGUUGAAACUGGCAGUCUCGAGUUGGAGAGAAGUAUGCGGAAUGCGCGGUGUAGCGGUGAAAUGCAUAGAUAUCGCGCAGAACUCCGAUUGCGAAGGCAGCAUGCCGGCUCCACACUGACGCUGAGGCACGAAAGCGUGGGUAUCCAUUCAAGGUUAGAUACCCUGGUAGUCCACGCAGUAAA
RNAcentral lists this ribosomal RNA (756 nucleotides) under uncultured bacterium. RNAcentral describes it as "bacterial SSU rRNA". It matches the Rfam family "Bacterial small subunit ribosomal RNA", at positions 62 to 806 of the family's 1533-position model. The record is from RNAcentral.